This 414-nucleotide ribosomal RNA is filed under the name uncultured crenarchaeote. Its description in RNAcentral is "partial 16S ribosomal RNA". It matches the Rfam family "Archaeal small subunit ribosomal RNA", at positions 330 to 747 of the family's 1478-position model. The record is from RNAcentral. Lineage: Archaea; Thermoproteati; Thermoproteota.
GUGCAGCAGGCGCGAAAACUCUGCAAUGCGCGAAAGCGUGACGGGGUUACCCCGAGUGCCGUCCGCUGAGGAUGGCUUUUCCUCGGUGUAAGGAGCCGAGGGAAUAAGGGGAGGGCAAGUCUGGUGUCAGCCGCCGCGGUAAUACCAGCUCCCCGAGUGGUAGGGGCGAUUACUUGGCCUAAAGCGUCCGUAGCCGGCUUAGCAAGUCUUCCGUCAAAUCUAGCGAUUUAAUCGCUGGACCGCGGGAGAUACUGCUAGGGUAGGGGACGGGAGAGGUCGACGGUAGUCUCGGGUAGAGGUGAAAUCCUAUAAUCCCGAGAGGACCACCAGUGGCGAAGGCGGUCGACUAGAACGUGCUCGACGGUGAGGGACGAAAGCUGGGGGAGCGAACCGGAUUAGAUACCCGCGUAGUCC